This is a non-coding RNA of Schizosaccharomyces pombe (fission yeast), 697 nucleotides long. Lineage: Eukaryota; Fungi; Ascomycota; Schizosaccharomycetes; Schizosaccharomycetales; Schizosaccharomycetaceae. The record is from the annotation of a GenBank genome assembly.
UAGAAGUAAGCAUAUACACCGCACAUCUAAUUAUCGAGUAGUCUAGGGCUUCUUCUGAUGGGCAUAAUGAACAGCAUGGAUGAUGUGCUCAACAACCUUAGGGUCAGCCAAGGUACUCAAGUCUCCAAUCUGGUCGACUUCACCAGCCAAAAUCUUACGGAGAAUGCGGCGCAUAAUUUUACCACUUCUAGUUUUUGGAAGAUCACUGAAAAUUAACUUGCGUGGAGAUGCAAAGGGGCCAAUUGUCGAUCGAACCGCCAUGAUCAACUCCUUUUCAAGUUCGACUGUAGCUUCAUAGCCAGGUUUCAAUAAAAUAAAGGCAUUGACGGCUUGACCGGUUAGCUCAUCAUGAACACCAACAACAGCGGAUUCUGCGACAGCGUCAUGAGACAACAAAGCAGCCUCGAUUUCAGCUGUACUCAGACGAUGGCCGGAAAUGUUGACAACAUCAUCAACACGUCCACGAAUCCAAAUGUAACCAUCUUUAUCGCGGGUAGCACCAUCACCGGUGAAGUAGAACCCAGGAUAUGGCUUCAAGUAGGUGUCGAUGUAACGAUCGUGACCGCGCCAAACAGUUCUAGCAGCGCUGGGCCAGGGACUGCGGAUAGCAAGAACACCUUCAACAUCGUUGCCUUCAAUGAUCUUGCCAGUCAAGGGAUCAAUGAUGACUGCAUCGAUACCGAAAAAGGGUAACGUA